Molecule: long non-coding RNA, 1162 nt
Filed under: Phoenix dactylifera (date palm)
Lineage: Eukaryota; Viridiplantae; Streptophyta; Magnoliopsida; Arecales; Arecaceae
Description: long non-coding RNA (PDAC_LNC001836)
Source: RNAcentral
GCUUAAGCUUACCAUGAUGAUUGCAGAAGAGGAAGUACAAUGAGUACGGUAUGAAAUAGGUUGGCAAAGAACACAGAGUCGUUUUAAGGUCUAAAAACCCGACAGAACUCUUUCUUUCCAGGAAGCCUAUCCCUCUUUUUAUGUAUGAUACCAGUCGAGUACAAAAACGUAGCAACAAUUGCUUGUAAUUGGCCGUUUCCCUUCAUCGACAAAAUACGUUUCCAGCGAGAGAACAGGCUCAGACGGGAGCAGAGCCGAAAGGAGAUCCAUACGUUGAUCCAAUCAAAGAACUAGUGGAUCCCGAACAAGAGUUUGAUUCGUUUGUCUCGAAGGCCGUGGUCGAAGCAUUAAAAAAACUUCAAAAGGCUUUCGGCCAUGGGACGAGGGAGUGGCGAGGCGGGCCCCCGUCAAUAUUAUGUUUUUCGCCCCAUCAUCUUACACGUUUUUCGGUAUGAGAUAGGGGAUUGAACUACUUAAUCUUUGCCUGGAACCAAACCUUAUGAGUACUACCAAUCAGGCAGGAUUAAGGCCUUCCAUGGCUUUCGACGCUCUCGGGUGACGUUGAAGUGAAAUACCACUCCAGUAGCUUGAACAACUCCGGGAACAGGAUUUCUCCUCAAGGCAAAGUCAGUGUUCGCUGCGCUAGAACGAGCUGGUCGAGAGAUGCGCAGUGGGUAAAGUACUGCAACAGUUGGGUCUGGUUAUAGGUACCAUCCAUUCAAGACCUUGCCAAAACCGUCAUGGCCCAAUGUUGUAUAGGCCGUACCAAGCCAAUAGCGAAUAACAAACUCUUCCCUGCUCCCUCGACCUUAAUUAACUCCCAUCCUACCAGAGAAAGAAAUUGCUUUCUCUGGCCCGAUGAAAAAAAAAACAUUUUCUUCGCUCAUUCGGCUUUGAUUGUGUAAUAGCUUCGUGAAUAGAAAGGUGGAAAGCCAGCCGAAUAAUAUUUUUUUAUACUGAGCGGAGAUUCCGAUGGGAAGAAGUUGCCUCUUUCUCGUUCGAGGGCAGGAGGACUUGUUUUUCACUAUUCUAAGACAGGACUUUCUUACCGCUCUUACCGCUGCUCGAAUUCUUUUCUAACCAACCGAUGUCGAUGUUUGGGAUCCGAACCAAGGCAUUCCGUCUGAUAUACGUACUGGUAUCACCCUGUGAAGCAAAGUCA